This 197-nucleotide ribosomal RNA is filed under the name Ctenophora environmental sample. RNAcentral's name for it is "partial Bacterial large subunit ribosomal RNA". It matches the Rfam family "Bacterial large subunit ribosomal RNA", at positions 1505 to 1696 of the family's 2925-position model. Lineage: Eukaryota; Metazoa; Ctenophora. The record is from RNAcentral.
UCUGUGACUAAGCCUGUAGGAUGGACCGCAGGAAAAUCCACGGUCCUUUAAUCCGAGAGGUGAUGGGUUCGGAACCCUUCGGGGCGAAACAACUGAGUGGAGUCAGCGGCCAAGAAAAACCUCUAAGUUUAGCUUUUUGUGACCGUAUCGCAAUCCGACACAGGUAGGCGAGGCGAGUAGCCUCAGGCGCUCGAGAU